GAACGCUGGCGGCGUGCUUAACACAUGCAAGUCGAACGAUGAAGCCCUUCGGGGUGGAUUAGUGGCGAACGGGUGAGUAACACGUGGGCAAUCUGCCCUGCACUCUGGGACAAGCCCUGGAAACGGGGUCUAAUACCGGAUACGAGCCUCCUGGGCAUCUGGGAGGUUGGAAAGCUCCGGCGGUGCAGGAUGAGCCCGCGGCCUAUCAGCUUGUUGGUGAGGUAACGGCUCACCAAGGCGACGACGGGUAGCCGGCCUGAGAGGGCGACCGGCCACACUGGGACUGAGACACGGCCCAGACUCCUACGGGAGGCAGCAGUGGGGAAUAUUGCACAAUGGGCGCAAGCCUGAUGCAGCGACGCCGCGUGAGGGAUGACGGCCUUCGGGUUGUAAACCUCUUUCAGCAGGGAAGAAGCGAGAGUGACGGUACCUGCAGAAGAAGCGCCGGCUAACUACGUGCCAGCAGCCGCGGUAAUACGUAGGGCGCAAGCGUUGUCCGGAAUUAUUGGGCGUAAAGAGCUCGUAGGCGG
RNAcentral lists this ribosomal RNA (530 nucleotides) under Streptomyces lannensis. Its description in RNAcentral is "bacterial SSU rRNA". It matches the Rfam family "Bacterial small subunit ribosomal RNA", at positions 31 to 578 of the family's 1533-position model. Lineage: Bacteria; Bacillati; Actinomycetota; Actinomycetes; Kitasatosporales; Streptomycetaceae. The record is from RNAcentral.